AUGACUCUCAUCACCAUCCUCAUCUGGACGCUGACCUGCUGCUGUUUUACAGGAUGCAGCGGUCAGGUGACUGUGACUCAACCUCCAGCAGUGACAUCUACUCCUGGAAACACUGUCACUCUGACCUGUAGGACCAGCCAAGCUGUUGCUAGCUGUCGUGAUGGUCAGUGUAUGUACUGGUAUCAACAGAAAUCUGGACAGACCACAAAGCUCCUAAUUCGACAUGUGAGCAUAAGACAUUCAGGAACACCAUCUCGAUUUAGUGGCAGUGGAAGCAGCUCUGACUUCUCUAUGACCAUCAGUGGAGUUCAGGCUGAAGAUGCAGCAGUUUACUACUGUAAGAGUAUCCAUGUAAUAAACAGUGCUGAUGUGUGGACUUUUGGUGGAGGAACCAAACUCAUCGUUAACUUGGGUGUGGUGAGGCCCACCCUCACUGUCCUCCCUCCAUCCAAAGAGGAAGACAAACAGUGCAGUGCCACUGUGGUGUGUUUGGCCACCGGGGGCUUCCCCUCAAACUGGAAUUUGGGCUGGAAGGUGGGGGGCACCAGCACAUCCUCAGGGGUUUCAACCAGCCUGGAGGUCUUGGGGACAGACGGCCGCUACAGCUGGAGCAGCACCCUGAGCCUCUCUGCAGACCAGUGGAGGAAGGCGGGCUCAGUGAGCUGUGAGGCCAGUCUGAGUGGACAGAGCCCCGUCACUCAAACCCUGGACCCUGACCACUGCUCAGAGUAGAACUUCAGCAACACUUCCUGUUUGCAUAUGAUGUGUUUGAUGAAGCUACAUGUUUCGUUUGUUCUCAUUUUCAUGACUCUCUAUUGUCUAUUGUGCAUGCAGAUGUCCUCUGUUU
Pelmatolapia mariae (spotted tilapia) is the source of this 847-nucleotide non-coding RNA. Lineage: Eukaryota; Metazoa; Chordata; Actinopteri; Cichliformes; Cichlidae. The record is from the annotation of a RefSeq genome assembly.